CCCCUGGGGGUCCAGUGGUUAGGACUUGGCUCUUUCACUGCUAUAACCUGGGUUCAAUCCCUGGUCAGGGAA
Molecule: transfer RNA, 72 nt
Filed under: Ovis aries (sheep)
Lineage: Eukaryota; Metazoa; Chordata; Mammalia; Artiodactyla; Bovidae
Rfam family: tRNA
About the family: Transfer RNA (tRNA) molecules are approximately 80 nucleotides in length. Their secondary structure includes four short double-helical elements and three loops (D, anti-codon, and T loops). Further hydrogen bonds mediate the characteristic L-shaped molecular structure. tRNAs have two regions of fundamental functional importance: the anti-codon, which is responsible for specific mRNA codon recognition, and the 3' end, to which the tRNAs corresponding amino acid is attached (by aminoacyl-tRNA synthetases). tRNAs cope with the degeneracy of the genetic code in two manners: having more than one tRNA (with a specific anti-codon) for a particular amino acid; and 'wobble' base-pairing, i.e. permitting non-standard base-pairing at the 3rd anti-codon position.
Source: Rfam by way of RNAcentral